CAAUAGCGUAUAUUAAAGUUGUUGCAGUUAAAAAGCUCGUAGUUGAAUUUUUGCUUGCCGCCGAUGUCGGAACUUCCGUACGUUCGGCGGCGUGCAUCCUUGGGUGGAACCUGUGUGGCAUUAGGUUGUCGUGCAGGGGAUGCUCAUCGUUUACUGUGAAAAAAUUAGAGUGUUCAAAGCAGGCUUACGCCGUUGAAUAUAUUAGCAUGGAAUAAUAAGAUAGGACCUUGGUACUAUUUUGUUGGUUUGCGCACCGAGGUAAUGAUUAACAGGGACAGUUGGGGGUAUUCGUAUUCCAUUGUCAGAGGUGAAAUUCUUGGAUUUCUGGAAGACGAACUACUGCGAAANCANNNACGAAGGAUGUUUUCAUNAA
Molecule: ribosomal RNA, 373 nt
Filed under: uncultured eukaryote
Lineage: Eukaryota
Description: partial 18S ribosomal RNA
Rfam family: Eukaryotic small subunit ribosomal RNA
Source: RNAcentral